CCUACGGGCGGCAGCAGUGGGGAAUAUUGGACAAUGGGCGAAAGCCUGAUCCAGCCAUGCCGCGUGUGUGAAGAAGGCCUUCGGGUUGUAAAGCACUUUCAGUGGGGAAGAAAGCCUUGGGGCUAAUACCCUCGAGGAAGGACAUCACCCACAGAAGAAGCACCGGCUAACUCCGUGCCAGCAGCCGCGGUAAUACGGAGGGUGCGAGCGUUAAUCGGAAUUACUGGGCGUAAAGCGCGCGUAGGCGGUCUGAUAAGCCGGUUGUGAAAGCCCCGGGCUCAACCUGGGAACGGCAUCCGGAACUGUCAGGCUAGAGUGCAGGAGAGGAAGGUAGAAUUCCCGGUGUAGCGGUGAAAUGCGUAGAGAGCGGGAGGAAUACCAGUGGCGAAGGCGGCCUUCUGGACUGACACUGACGCUGAGGUGCGAAAGCGUGGGUAGCAAACAGGAUUAGAUACCCCUGUAGUC
RNAcentral lists this ribosomal RNA (465 nucleotides) under Vreelandella stevensii. Its description in RNAcentral is "partial 16S ribosomal RNA". It matches the Rfam family "Bacterial small subunit ribosomal RNA", at positions 338 to 795 of the family's 1533-position model. The record is from RNAcentral. Lineage: Bacteria; Pseudomonadati; Pseudomonadota; Gammaproteobacteria; Oceanospirillales; Halomonadaceae.